GAACUGAAGAGUUUGAUCAUGGCUCAGAUUGAACGCUGGCGGCAGGCCUAACACAUGCAAGUCGAGCGGAUGAUGGGAGCUUGCUCCCGGAUUCAGCGGCGGACGGGUGAGUAAUGCCUAGGAAUCUGCCUGGUAGUGGGGGACAACGUUUCGAAAGGAACGCUAAUACCGCAUACGUCCUACGGGAGAAAGCAGGGGACCUUCGGGCCUUGCGCUAUCAGAUGAGCCUAGGUCGGAUUAGCUAGUUGGUGGGGUAAAGGCUUACCAAGGCGACGAUCCGUAACUGGUCUGAGAGGAUGAUCAGUCACACUGGAACUGAGACACGGUCCAGACUCCUACGGGAGGCAGCAGUGGGGAAUAUUGGACAAUGGGCGAAAGCCUGAUCCAGCCAUGCCGCGUGUGUGAAGAAGGUCUUCGGAUUGUAAAGCACUUUAAGUUGGGAGGAAGGGCAGUAAGCUAAUA
This 462-nucleotide ribosomal RNA is filed under the name Pseudomonas nitroreducens. Its description in RNAcentral is "partial 16S ribosomal RNA". It matches the Rfam family "Bacterial small subunit ribosomal RNA", at positions 1 to 465 of the family's 1533-position model. Lineage: Bacteria; Pseudomonadati; Pseudomonadota; Gammaproteobacteria; Pseudomonadales; Pseudomonadaceae. The record is from RNAcentral.